CUGCCUCGUGAGCGAGGUGCUCUGCUCUGCUCUGCUGGACUGGGCACCCGGGGGGCUCCUGAGACACCCCACGGGCAGGGCGAGGCCCUGCAGGGUCACAAUGUCCCCCCAGUUCCAGGAGGCCCCGCAGUGUCACAGUGGCCCCUGGGCACCUGCAGGCCCCACAUCACACAGCCCCGGCAGUUGCCAUGGAAAUGCCCCUGCCCAGAACUGGCUGGAACCGGCCCGAGCAGCCCCUUCCAGCACAGCCGCUCACGGCAGGUCCCUUUCAGCUGUUCUUGGGCACCUUUUGCUCAUUAGGGAGUGUGUGGGGAUCCCUCUCCACAGCCCGGUCAGCAGAACAGCGACACCUCCUUGGUGCUGACACCACCCAGAAGCUGAGGGAAUGUUUGAUUCUGGUCCUGGGAGCUCUCUGGCUCCUCCAGGUAACCUGUGCAUGGGGACCAGUGGUGCCACCUUGGCUGUACUGGGGUGAUCUCCAACCGGGACAGACACCACAGGUCAUUUGAUGUGGUUCCUCUGAAGGCAGCAGCUUUCCCUCCAGGCUCUCCAAGCUCUUUGCUCUGGACAAAGCCAGAUGCUGUGAUGUCCCACCCUGAAGGGGAAGGGAGCACCCAACAGUUGUAGAUGGUGGUCAAAAGGAACAACGAAAAUCAGAGGGUUCACAAAAACUCGCAGUGUUUUAUUAGUAAAUCACACACUUGGCCAUAGAAAUUGGGA
Molecule: long non-coding RNA, 720 nt
Organism: Chiroxiphia lanceolata (lance-tailed manakin)
Lineage: Eukaryota; Metazoa; Chordata; Aves; Passeriformes; Pipridae
Exons: 2
Source: RefSeq, a predicted model, not a curated record